GGGUACACGAGCGGCGAACGGGUGAGUAACACGUGGGUGAUCUGCCUCGCACUCUGGGAUAAGCCUGGGAAACUGGGUCUAAUACCGGAUAUGACCACGGAUCGCAUGGUUUGUGGUGGAAAGAUUUAUCGGUGCGAGAUGGGCCCGCGGCCUAUCAGCUUGUUGGUGGGGUAAUGGCCUACCAAGGCGACGACGGGUAGCCGACCUGAGAGGGUGACCGGCCACACUGGGACUGAGACACGGCCCAGACUCCUACGGGAGGCAGCAGUGGGGAAUAUUGCACAAUGGGCGAAAGCCUGAUGCAGCGACGCCGCGUGAGGGAUGACGGCCUUCGGGUUGUAAACCUCUUUCGACAGGGACGAAGCGCAAGUGACGGUACCUGUAGAAGAAGCACCGGCCAACUACGUGCCAGCAGCCGCGGUAAUACGUAGGGUGCGAGCGUUGUCCGGAAUUACUGGGCGUAAAGAGCUUGUAGGCGGUUCGUCGCGUCGAUUGUGAAAACUUGCAGCUCAACUGCAAGCUUGCAGUCGAUACGGGCGGACUAGAGUACUUCAGGGGAGACUGGAAUUCCUGGUGUAGCGGUGAAAUGCGCAGAUAUCAGGAGGAACACCGGUGGCGACGGCGGGUCUCUGGGAAGUAACCGACGCUGAGAAGCGAAAGCGUGGGUAGCGAACAGGAUUAGAUACCCUGGUAGUCCACGCCGUAAACGGUGGGUACUAGGUGUGGGUUUCCUUCCACGGGAUCCGUGCCGUAGCUAACGCAUUAAGUACCCCGCCUGGGGAGUACGGCCGCAAGGCUAAAACUCAAAGGAAUUGACGGGGGCCCGCACAAGCGGCGGAGCAUGUGGAUUAAUUCGAUGCAACGCGAAGAACCUUACCUGGGUUUGACAUACACCAGAAAGCCGUAGAGAUACGGCCCCCCUUGUGGUUGGUGUACAGGUGGUGCAUGGCUGUCGUCAGCUCGUGUCGUGAGAUGUUGGGUUAAGUCCCGCAACGAGCGCAACCCUUAUCUUAUGUUGCCAGCGCGUAAUGGCGGGGACUCGUGAGAGACUGCCGGGGUCAACUCGGAGGAAGGUGGGGACGACGUCAAGUCAUCAUGCCCCUUAUGUCCAGGGCUUCACACAUGCUACAAUGGCCGGUACAGAGGGCUGCGAUACCGUGAGGUGGAGCGAAUCCCUUAAAGCCGGUCUCAGUUCGGAUCGGGGUCUGCAACUCGACCCCGUGAAGUUGGAGUCGCUAGUAAUCGCAGAUCAGCAACGCUGCGGUGAAUACGUUCCCGGGCCUUGUACACACCGCCCGUCACGUCAUGAAAGUCGGUAACACCCGAAGCCGGUGGCCUAACCC
RNAcentral lists this ribosomal RNA (1343 nucleotides) under Nocardia sp. RNAcentral's name for it is "bacterial SSU rRNA". It matches the Rfam family "Bacterial small subunit ribosomal RNA", at positions 85 to 1441 of the family's 1533-position model. The record is from RNAcentral. Lineage: Bacteria; Bacillati; Actinomycetota; Actinomycetes; Mycobacteriales; Nocardiaceae.